GCAUGAAAAACCAAUGCCACACACAUCCACAAGGCACACUGGCACACUUAGGGAACAGCUGUGAAAAAUCUCAUACAUUAGCCAACUUCUCUUCCGAGAUCAGUCCUGGACAUACGGUGUGAAUCAUGUCUGGAAUCGGCUUACUAAAUAUAUACAUCAUCGGAACUGCAUUUUCUCUUCUGGUGGCUCUGUUUGGACUGGUUGAUUCUGUUGGGGGUCUGAUGUAUCCUCAAGGAUCUGGCCAUGCAGACGACAAUUGGACAAAGGAACAUACUCCAGUGUCUCCAUCACAGACUGCUGCUGCUGCCCACAUUAAACGGAUUGGAUUGAGAUGAUCUUCCGCAUGGAUCUUGCAUGUUCUUCUUCUCCACUGUCUUUGGGAGCAGGUCUUCAAUUGCACUAGCAGAAAUACUAUUAAGGUCACUGACCAACUACGUACUGUACAUGCAGUAUGGAAAUGAUCUUUUUCUACACUACUGUGAGAAAUACCUGAAAGGGAUACGUAAAUGAAGAACAUGUGAUGUGGACUGGUACAAACAGAUCAGAUGUGAUACUGUACAAACUGUUGCAAUUUGUGUUUCUGCAAAGACCUUGUCUGGAAAUAUACUACACUGUAAAAAUUGGAUAUGUUGAUACCUUAAGGGACAUUUCUACUUGAUCUACCCCAAUGAAGCCAAGUUGAUUCAGUCAUAUUAAAUAACAUUUUUGACAUGAAUAAAGCCAGUUAAUUAAAAUGUUACAACAUGAAACAAUUUGUUGUGAUCAAGUUACCUGCUAUUUUAUAAAGUGUAAAAAGACAUGAGGCAGCUGUACCAGAAUAUACUGUACAAAGAAUUAAUGUGGCACUAACAAAAGUUAAAUAACGCUUUGCACUGUAAAGAAAAUAAAAUACUGCAAACAUGUUUACAUUUACUGGCUGCUCUAAAAAGUAGAAAUCCCUGAUCAAAAAACCUUUUUGUAAUCCUUUCCCUGAAUGUUUAUACUAAUACAUCAAUAAAGUAAUUCUUCUUCAA
Molecule: long non-coding RNA, 1013 nt
Organism: Myxocyprinus asiaticus (Chinese sucker)
Lineage: Eukaryota; Metazoa; Chordata; Actinopteri; Cypriniformes; Catostomidae
Exons: 2
Source: RefSeq, a predicted model, not a curated record